Non-coding RNA from Phoenix dactylifera (date palm), 1813 nucleotides. The record is from RefSeq and is a predicted model, not a curated record. Lineage: Eukaryota; Viridiplantae; Streptophyta; Magnoliopsida; Arecales; Arecaceae.
CCCUUUCUUCUCCUCUCUUUGUGAAAAAUCUAAUCCUAAUUCUCCCACUAGGCACUUGCCGAGGAAGAAAGAGAGAACACCGCAGAGAGCUGAUCACUCUCCGAAUCCCUAAUACUCUCAAAUUGGGAGGAGAGAAGGGAAAUAGGGAUCGCAUCAAACGCUACCAAUGGGUCGAUCACUCCUCUCUUCCUCACCAAUUCCUCUGAGGUUGAGAUUUCCCCCGAUACCCAAAUCGUUUGCCUCCGUUCUGAGUCCCAAGAAUGGUCUGCGACCGAGGAGGAUGCCCAUCCAUGCGAAACCCCCGAAGGAACUCCAAAUCAAGGCGAUUAUAUCUGAGUUUCCCAGCAAGAAUCGGUACUCGAAGGUCGGAGCGGAGUCGACGGGGCCAAUACCUGCGGCGGAGCUCCUCCAAGUGGUCGAGACCGCUGCCAAGACAGGCGCAGAGGUUGUGAUGGAAGCUGUCAACAAGCCUCACAAUAUUAAUUAUAAAGGAAUCACAGACUUGGUAACAGACACAGAUAGAAUGAGUGAAUCAACAAUUUUAGAAGUUGUGAAAAAGAACUUCAAAGACCACCUUAUUCUUGGGGAGGAAGGUGGCCUUAUUGGAGACUCGAUGUCAGACUAUCUAUGGUGCAUUGAUCCUUUAGAUGGAACAACAAAUUUUGCACAUGGCUAUCCCAGCUUUGGAGUAUCAGUGGGAGUUCUGUUCCGUGGGAAGCCAGCUGCUGCAUCUGUGGUUGAAUUUGUGGGUGGGCCCAUGUGUUGGAAUACUCGCACAUUUAGUGCAUCUUCUGGUGGUGGAGCCUUUUGUAAUGGACAAAAGAUUCACGUUAGUCCGACUGAUCAAGUGGAACGUUCGCUCUUGGUAACUGGAUUUGGAUAUGAACAUGAUGAUGCAUGGGCAACCAACAUGAAUUUAUUCAAGGAAUUUACUGACAUUAGCAGGGGUGUGAGAAGACUUGGUGCUGCUUCUGUUGAUAUGUCUCAUGUUGCUCUCGGUAUUGUGGAAGCCUACUGGGAAUAUCGUCUUAAGCCAUGGGACAUGGCUGCUGGUGUCCUGCUUACCUACUAUGAUGUGAUUUAUCACUACCCGUGCUCCCCCCCAAACAACAACAAAAAAAAAUCCACAAGGGGAGGGGGCGCGAGUUAAAAAGUGAAUUCUGAUACUCGAGUAUGCAAGAACAAAAUCCUGAUUUUGCUGAUUAAGCAAGGAGAUGAUAUAGGUGGAAUUGUGUUCCUCCCCCCCCUCCCCCUUCCCUUCCUUUCGUACUUUUCGGUAAGUCCGUCCCAAGACCUUUUCUUUGGUUUCUUUUUUUUAUUUGAACUGCCAGAGUUUUAUCUUUAUUUGAAUAUGUUGCCCUUUUUCUUGAGCAGAUAGUUGAAGAAGCUGGUGGGGUUGUCACACGCAUGGAUGGUGGAAAGUUCACAGUCUUUGAUCGAUCUGUUCUGGUGUCCAAUGGUCUUGUUCAUGAUAAGCUCCUGGAGAAGAUAGGUCCUGCAACUGAAGAAUUGAAAAGGAAAGGAAUUGAUUUCUCCUUAUGGUUUAAGCCAGAAGAUUAUGCUACAGAUUUUUGAGUUUGAUAUUGUCUGUGAGGCUUAGGUACAAUGGCUAGCAUGAUCUUGUUGAUUCAGCCUUCAUAUAGUUUUAAAGUGAAAAUAUGUUCAUAAAUAUCUCAUCAUAUUCAGCUUCCGAAGAGUUCAUGGAUCAAACUAGACCUGUUUCUACCUUGAGUGUAGUAUAAACCUAUAUUUUUAUAUCAGGGCUGUUAAUAAAGCGCGAGCCUUCCAGCCUAGGAACUGGGUUUUGCUUUCA